RNAcentral lists this ribosomal RNA (207 nucleotides) under uncultured bacterium. Its description in RNAcentral is "partial 16S ribosomal RNA". It matches the Rfam family "Bacterial small subunit ribosomal RNA", at positions 568 to 774 of the family's 1533-position model. The record is from RNAcentral.
CGUGUAGGCGGCCUUGCAGGUCAGAUGUGAAAGCCCCGGGCUUAACCCGGGAAUUGCGUUUGAAACCGUGAGGCUUGAGGCCGGGAGAGGGAAGUGGAAUUCCUGGUGUAGCGGUGAAAUGCGUAGAUAUCAGGAGGAACACCGGUGGCGAAGGCGGCUUCCUGGACCGGUUCUGACGCUAAAACGCGAAAGCGUGGGGAGCGAACG